Long non-coding RNA from Macrobrachium nipponense, 495 nucleotides. RefSeq lists it as uncharacterized. The transcript has 3 exons. Lineage: Eukaryota; Metazoa; Arthropoda; Malacostraca; Decapoda; Palaemonidae. The record is from RefSeq and is a predicted model, not a curated record.
GAAAGUUUUGGAAGACUGACGUUCUAAAAGAAGCGAAGGGCGGGAGUCAUAUGAUCGUCCUUCUUUUACGAGUCUUGGACAAGAUUCUGUUGCAGAGAUGAAUUGAAGAGGAUUUACAGCUUGUGUCAAUUUAUGGCAAGCCAUUUGAAGACACUGCCCCAUAAAGGAGAUGACUUCAUCCUCUGUUUACGCGCGAGAGUUGUACCCAAAGCAAAGCUGUAACCUUAUCGCAUGCAAUUUAUACUUUAUUGUCUUUGGAAGACUGAAAUUAGACUUGCAACGGACCAUCAACCUGGUUACAUCUACAUGGGUCCAAAAUUAAAUAUAUGCAAACAAAGUAUCGAUUUCAUAUUAAGUAUGACAUAAAUAUUAACGGCUUUCUUAUUCCAAUGAAGUGACAUAAAUAUCAACUUUUUUCUUACUCCCCCAUUGAAGUUCAGCCGUGUAAGAAGCCUUAACAGUCACAAUAAAUAUACUUCUGUCAUUAGUUAUACA